Molecule: long non-coding RNA, 26436 nt
Filed under: Vitis vinifera (wine grape)
Lineage: Eukaryota; Viridiplantae; Streptophyta; Magnoliopsida; Vitales; Vitaceae
Description: long non-coding RNA (VVIN_LNC001851)
Source: RNAcentral
GAUUCUCUAGGUUCUUCCCCCAAGAAAAAGAUAAUAACUCCAAUGAUUGUCCUUUAGACUUUUCUCCUUAGGAGAAGGAGGAUAACACCUAUUCUUUCAAACUCUUCUCUCUAAGAGAAAAAUGAUUGUGUUGGAUAAGGAAAGUUAAAGGAUUAAGAACAUGACAACAAUUCCUAUUAGCACAAGCAUUUCAAUUUAGGAAAUAAAUAAAAAAAUUGAAUAAUCCCAUGAUAGAUAAUUUAUUUUAAGAAAGUUACCAAAAUUAUCUAAAGUCUCUUAUUUCAAAAUAUUAAGUAGAAAAAGGUCAAAGGCAAACCAAUAACCUCCAAAAUCAAGCCCAUUUUUAUUUUUGGAACAUCAUCUUCUUCAAGAUGGGUUGACCUAAGGAAUCAAGGGAUAUGAACUAACCUUUGUGGACAAAACUAUUUGUAUUUCUAGUGGGAAUAACCAAUGUUGAAUGUGGAACUCUUCACUUGGCAACAUAAAUGUCAAGGAUCUUGGUUACAAACUUAACAUAAAUGUGGAGCGUUAAAAUCACCUGAAAUGGUCUAACUUGCACAAUCUGAUGGCUAAAUUAUAAAGGUAUGUUAAUCAUUACCUUAGGAUAACCUUUUAAGGUUUAAGGCAGGUUGAUUAGUUAGAGAGGAUCCCUACCUAUUAAUAAGAAUCAUGACUUGCCUGAAGUAGGUUUGAUCUUUAUGAUGGUAGGAUGCCAUGCAUAGAUAUAUGUAGUUUGAGAGCACUACAUUUUUGCUAGGGUUUAUUACACUUUAUCUCCCCUCCUCCAACCUAUAGCGUGUUUUGCACAUUGUACCCUCAAGUUCAAAAUCGAGCAAUAUACCCUUCAUCAUUUCUAAUUGCAUAUAAUGUGAAUUUUUUUAGAGAUGACAUUAAUUUUUUGGACGAAAAGACAUGUGUGUUUCGCUUGAUUGAGGGAAAAAGUGUCUUUUUUGCUAUAAGUGAGAACAAAAGGGUCAUUAUAAUUUUAAAUCCCCACACUGCAGUUCUUUUCUCCCGCAUCAAUCAUUCAUUUGUCGUAUCUGGUAGCAAAACCCUAAACCAAAACCCUAAAAUCCCAAGGAAGCUAAUGUAGGGCUGACAUUGAAGAGAAGACAUGGAGUUCAACGAUAUUUCUUUGUCUUUCAAUUUCUUUUGGGUUAGGGUUUUGUUUGGAUCUUUCAGAAAUUUUGAGGAAAUUUUGGGAAAAUUAUGGGAAAGUAAAUGUGGACCCGCAUUUUUCACGUGCGCCCCCACUCGAUCGGCGAGACUCGCUUUUUAUUUGUGAAAAAUUGAUUUUUGAAAAAAAGUUGGAGUCGCCACGUAUUUUAUUUUUAUUUUGAAGGGAAAAUAAAACAAGAAAGAAAAACCCUAAAAAGUGACUCCAUAGUUUUGGAAAAAGCAUGUCUUUGAGAAACCCGAGUCUAAGUCCGGGGAUCAGGUUAUUUAUUGGGAAGGUACCUCUAGGAGGUAGCACCCCUCUAAGCCCUAAAAAGGUCUCUACUUACUAAGUUAAGGGAAGUGUGGCAAUUAAAUGGUUGAUCAUGGAUACCUAAGUAGACUAGGUGAUUUCAAAUAUUGCAUGCCUAAUAAGAAAACAAACCAUGAGAGAGAAUCGAAGUGCGUACCUGAACAACUUUUCAAGCGCUAUCACAAGACAUCAAAGUUAGUAUAGAGAUAUAGCACGCAACAUGCAUUUUAUCCAAGCAAGUCAAACAUACAUCUAAGCACCCAAGGAUUAAAUCAAAGCAUGGAUAUAGCUCAUGAUAGCAUGCAUUUUCAUAGAAUUUUGGAAUUAGAGGAUAGAGAACGUACCUGGAUAGCAAGUAUAUUUUAUAAGAUUCCUCGAAAAAUGCUAGAUUGGUUAGGGCAAGCAUAGAUUAUAUGAAAUAUCCAUUAUGUCUAAUAUACAGUUUCAAAGCCAAAAUUGAGCUAAGACAAAUUAAAUGACUCCAAAAAUAAUAACAAUUUCAAGUAAGGUAUAAAACCAUCAGCAUGCGGUUAGAAAAUGAAGCAUCGUAAAACAAUUUCUAAAAAAAAUGGCCUAGAGUGGAAUUUGAUUACAAAAAAUUUCAGGAAACAACUCCUACACACCUAGAUUAACAUACCGAAAGCCAAACACUCAUUCAAAAGACAGAUUAUCGCAAAGGCACCUAAAGGUUCUACAAAGUCCAGAUUAGAUAAGGAAAAGUGACGUGCAUAAAUGAAUUUUUAAAAAAUAAUAAAUGAUCCUAUAAAAUCAUAAACAAAAUCACACACAUAUUUCAAAAUUUCUAUAUCACAUAAAAAAUAAAUUCGGGGUCGAAUAGUACUCAAAAAUAUUUUUAAAACUAUAAAUCUAAUCAGAUGUACAAACUCCAGCAUGCGCAGUAGGCACAACUUUGAAAAAUCAUAUCUCCCUCAAAAAUGCAUAUUUUCUAAUAUUUUAUGUGUCUAAAAUCAAUUUCAAGAAGCUUAUAAUUGAGAAAAAAUAUUGAAUCAAUUUUAAAAAGUCCUCUAGUAUUUUAUUUUUUCCAAAAUAUCUUGGGUGUCCAGAACUAUGUGAAAACGGAGUCCCCCUAAAGACUCAUUUAUAUCUUCUAUCUCAGAAUGACUUUCUAACUAAAAAAAAACCUCAAAUUCAAGUUCAAGAAGUGAGGAAAGUCAUAAAAUUUCUGGAAAUUUUUUACAGAUAUCCUAAAGUUGUCAAAAUGAAUUUUUGAAGUUGAAGGGUCAGUGGUUUGAUGAAAACUGGCAGCAAAGAUUAAAUUAUUUAAUACCUAAGAUGGGUAGUUCUUUUCUUUUUAACAAACCGAUUUUAGAUCAAGAAAUCUCAGUAGGAAGGGGUCUCAACAGGUAUACUGAUGUUAUAGCUGCACCUGAGAUGACAAAGUCUUGUGUAUUUUGUAGGAAGAUAAUCAUAAACAGGGUGCACAAUGGGGAAUUCACGUCAGAAUGGUGGCUACUCCCUUACGUGCUGAAGCUGAUGUACAAUAUAAUUUCCCCACUAGCUACCACCAUCCCUACAUAUCUAUCACUAUCAUCCAGCCCUGAUCCCAAAGGACCCACCAUUUGAAGUCUCAUUUUUAAAAAAAACAUAAAUUUUAUGCUGCAAUCUGGACCUAAUUCCACUACCCUUUUGACCACUGAAGUUGUGCAAUGUACGAAUGUUUUGUCCACCAAUCUGCUGCUCUCUCUUUUAAGUGUACACCACUCUUAUAAAUCUCAUGCACAACUUCCUCUUUGAGUGUAUACACCCUCUCUCUCAAGCACAAAUUAGAACACGAAACCAAUUAUAGAACAAAGUGAUAAUAACACUGAGUAAGGAGUUCUCAACAAACAUACCGAGGAGCGCUCUCUUCUGGCAAGGAGAUCCCACUGGUUUGUCGUCUGAGAUUUCUUCAACCGCCCUCUCCUUCUUCUCCACCGACAGCUUCUCACUUGAAAGUCUUCUCUGAAAAUCCAAUUUUUCCGCCUCUCUUUCUCUCUGUUUUUUUUUUCUAUGUGCCGAAAGUCUCACCAAAACCUAUCUGUUAGAGCUUUUUUAUAGCAAAUAACAGUCCUUCUACGUGAGGAGUCUUCCUCUCUCCAAAUUUUAUCUUAUGCACCGGAAAAACUCUUUUUUUUUUUAAUUUCAAACAAUACCAAUCCACGCAUAUCACCUACAAUCCAUGCAUAUCAUUUAAAGAGUUUUACCGUUUUCAAAAACUUCUCCAAUGGUAGACUUCUUCCAUAAAAAUUUCAAAUUAUUAAAUUAAAUAAAUAAAUAAAUAAUAAAAUAGAUAAUAAAUAAUAAAAUAAAUAAAUAACUAAAUAAAUAAAUCGGAGAAUAUAAAAUGAUAAUAAUAGAUAAAUGAAUAAAUAACAAGAUAAUAAACAAAUAAGUAAGAAUACUAAAUAACUAAAUAACUAAAAAUGAUUGAUAAUAAUGAAAAUAAAUUAAAAUAAAUGAAUAAAUAAAACCAUAAUAAAUGAUCAAAUAAAAGUGGUUAGUAAUAAUAAAAAAUAAAAAUAAAUAAAUAAGUAAAUGAGAUAAAUGGGUCAUACAACCAUACAAGUCAUACUAAAAAAAAAGACUAAUGGGCCAAGGUGAGACUAAGUGGGCCAAGGUGAGACUAAGUGGGCCAAGGUGGACCUAAUGGGCCUAAGUGCCUAAGUGGAUCUAGGGUGCCUAAAUGGGCCUAAGUGCCUAAGCGGGCUUAGGGUGCCUAAAUGAGCUACCCUAAAAGCUAUCCUAAAAAUGAACGAAAAACCUAAGUCUAAAAUAGGGCUGCCAAGGGUCACAAUAAUGGGUCAGAUAAUCUCUCGACCAAAAUCUUCGAGGUGACUCAGAAAAAGGUAAGUGGUAUGAGUAGCCAUGGGCCACCAAGGAACUAUUUUGAAGUACUGAAAACGAACUUAAAGACAUGUGCUAAAGGGACAAAAUUGAGGGUCUACAGUAAAACUCAAGCAAAUUGAGGGUUAGGGUUUUUAUAUUAGGGUUUAAAUUUUUAUGUUAUGCUUCCGAUUUAGGGUUAAGGUUUCGUUUUCAUGUUUAAGAAAAUUGAGGAAAUUUUAAGGGUAAAUUUGGGGAAUUUAUGGGAUAAAUAAAACUUAAUCCAAUUGAGGGUUAGGGUUUUUAUGUUAGGGUUUUAAUUUUUUUGUUAUGCUUCUAGUUUAGAAUUAAGGUUUUGUUUUCAUGUUUCAGAAAACAGGGGGUAUAUUUGGGCAAAAUUUAGGGCAAUUUUUUAGGAAAACUUAGGGAAACUAAAUCUGGUGCUUAGUUGCAGUUUGUUAGGACAAUUUUAAUUUUUUUCCUUGUAAUUAAUGUUGCAUUAUUGAUUUACCUAAUAUGAACAUAGCUGAAAUUUAUUAUGUGUCUGCAGAUCGACCAUCUCAAUAUUUUACCAUAAAAUUGCAUUAUGGAGAGAGGUUUAGGGGUAGUAAGGAAGGUGUACCAAGAUUAGUGAUUAUGUGGGUGACAAACUAGAUUGUAUUGAUAAUUGUGACUCAGAUUUAAUGUCAUUGAUUAAGUUGGAUGAUAUAAUGAAACAUUUAGGAUAUAAAGAUUGCUUGGGAUAUUACUAUGCUAAUAAGAAUGGAGAAUUAGUUAUGGUGCUUAACAGAUAAAAUUGUGUUAGAGAUGUGUAGUUCAUUGUCAAAGGAUGGGGAAGUAGAUGUAUUUUUCAAGUACCCAGAGGUUUUACAUCUGUCUGAAGCUGAGAUUGAGUCUUCAAAUGCAUGCAGUUAGCCUACUAAAAAUGUGUGUGAAGGUGAAGACUCUAGGAUCAAUGUUGCAACAACACCCAAUGUAGAUGAAGUUGUUGAUAAAGCUGAAGAUUCAUCUAAAUAGAGUGAGUUUGUUGAUGAUGAGUAUUCUAUUAGUGAUGAUGAUGACUUGUAUGAUAAUUAUGUUGAUGCUAAUGAAGAGUGGGUUAGAGUAAAAAACAAUAAAGAAAAAGAUAAGGGAGUUGAGGAGGAAAACAUAAUAACAGUGAAUGAUGUGGAGGAUGAGGAAAACCUUUGUGAUGAUGACAUGAGGACUUUAGAUAAUGGUAAUGAAGAAGAAAUUAAUAGAGAUAAGUCUCAGUAUCCUCAAUUUGUAGCUAAUACAGACAUAAUCAAUCAUCAAUUUAGUGUGAGGUUACUUUUCACAAGUGCAACUGAGUUUAGAGUUGCGGUGAGGGAAUAGAAUAUGCCAUCAAAAAUGAAAGGAAUGUGAAGUUUGUUAAGAAUGAGAAGGACAAAGUAAGGGUAGUAUGCUCAGCUGGAUGUCCUUGGGUGGUUUAUGCAGCUCAAGUAAGGGAUGGGAAGACUUUUCGAGCGAGGACUUAUAAUGCAGAGCAUACUUGUGGCAGGGUAUUAAAAAAUGAUAAUCUAACCUUAAGGUACUUGUGUAAGAAGUAUGUUGACCAUUUUAGAAACAACCCUAAGUUAUCUAUUAGUGUAUUCAUGAAUACAAUGAGAAGUUCUCUUGUAUGUGAGUUAUCUCCUAAUCAAACUUAUAGAAUAAAGAAGAAGGCACCGAAACAAAUACAAAGUACUCAUGUUGAACAAUAUGUUAAACUUUCAUACUAUUGUGCUGAGAUCAAAAGAACAAAUUCGAGUUCAACAAUGAUUAUGAAAACAAAAAUGGUUCAUGACAAAGUCGUGUUUGAAAGGAUAUAUAAUAUAUAUAUUUCGAUGCAUGCAAGAAAUGGUUUUUAUCUGAGUGUACGGUUGUGGUUGGUCUUGAUGGGUGCCAUCUUAAAGGGCCACACUUUGGGAAACUAUUGAUUGUUAUUGGCAUUGACCUAAAUAAUUAGAUCUUUCCAAUAUGUUUUGUUGUUGUGGAGGUGGAGUUAAACGAUAGUUAGUCUUGGUUUCUAUAGUUACUGAUUGAAAACCUUUUUAUCAACAAUUUAGAGGCUUGGGCUUUCAUUAGUGAUAAACAAAAGGUAUAAAAUUAUGAACUUGUGUUUUCUAUUUAGCCCUAACUAUAUUUGAUGGUUUAAGUGUUUUUUUUUUCUUUUUAUUGUCUUUCCAUUUCAUUUCUAUUUAGGCCUAGCUAUAUUUGAUGAUUGAAUGUGAUUGUAUUAGAUUCAAAUUAAAUUGAGGCCUUAGGUUGAAGUCACCUAAAUUUAUUAGUUGUCUAUAGUUACUGUUGCAUGUGUCAUCCAUGCACUAGUAUUGGGCCACACCUGGGGUUUUAUUUGCAGCUACCUAUACCUGUGCCACCCACAUUUGGGUGUCUAGGGGACUUAUCUACAACUAUUGUUACUUAUGUCAUCCACAUGGAAUGGGGUGUCAUCUAUUUCCUUUGUUCUUCAAGGGUGCAUUAUGGUCCAACAAGAUAAAUAGAGCCAUAUUUUCUAACAACUUAGAUAUAACCAAAUAUUUUUUAUUUAGGCUUAACAAUAUUUGAUGGUUGAAUAUGAUUGUUUUAAAUGUAUUUUUUUUCUCUUACCUAUUUGUUUUCUAUUGGGUCUUCAAAUGUAUGCAUGGUUAAAUGUAUAACUUAAAUGUACAUUGUUAAUUCGCGUACGCAUGGCAGCAUGUUUUAAGUUUUAAGGUUUUUUUUUUGUGUUUUUCAUUUGUUUUCCAUUUUUUUUUAUUUGGCAGUGAUGUAAUUUUUGUGUGCAAGGGUUGGUGCUUGCUAUUGAGGAAUUGUUGCCCAACUUAGAGCAUAGACAUUGUUUGAGAUACUUAUACAACAAUUUCAAGCAAAAGUUCAAGGGACUAGCAUUGAAAGAUAAAGUUUGGAAAAUAGUCAUUGCUUCAAAUAUCCUUACUUUUAGUAAACAUAUGGAAUGGAUUCAAAGCCACUUUCUCUUCUCAGUUUGGGCUUUCAGAGCCACCAUAUCUUCUCAGUUUGGGCGUUCAGAGCCACCAUUCCUUCCCAGUUUGGCGUUCAAAGCCACCAUCUCUUCUUAGUUUCGGCGUUUAGAGCUAUCAUCAUUCUUAGUUUCGGCGUUCAGGGCCACCAUUUCUUCUCAGUUUGGGCUUUCAGAGCCACCACCUCUUUUCAGUUUCAGUGUUUAGAGCCAUCAUCAUUCUCAAUUUUGGUGUUCAGAGUCAUCAUUGCUUCUCAGUUUUGGCAUUCAGAUCCAUCAUCAUUCUUAGUUUCGACGUUCAAAACCAUCAUCAUUCUUAGUUUCGGCGUUCAGAGCCAUCAUCGCUUCUCAGUUUCGGCGUUCAGAGCCACCAUAUAUUCUCAGUUAAGGCUUUCAGAGCCACCAUUCCUUCCCAGUUUGGCAUUCAGAGCCACCAUCUCCUCUCAGUUUGACGUUCAAAGCCACCAUCUCCUUUUAGUUUAGCGUUCAAAGCCACUUUCUCUUCCCAGUUUGGGCGUUCAGAGCCAUCAUUCCUUCCGAGUUUGGCAUUUAGAGCCACCAUUCCUUCCCAGUUUGGCGUUCAAAGCCACCAUUUCCUCUCAGUUUGGGCAUUUGCUGCCACAUUUUCGGCGUUCAAAGUUACAUUCCUGGCAUUCAGAGUCAUCGUCCACAUCCAGACGUUUAGAGUCGUCGUUCACAUUCAGGCAUUCAGAGCCAUCAUCAUACACCUUCAGGUGUUCAGAGCCAUCGUUCACAAUCAGGCAUUCAGAGCCAUUAUCCAAUUUAGCAUUCGGUGCCACCAUCAUAUUUUCAAUUUGGCAUUCAGAGCCAUUAGUCAGCCUUGCAUUCAGAGCCACUAUUUUCCUCCAGUUCGGCGUUCAAAGCCACAUUCCUAGCAUUUAGGGUUGUCUUUCUCUUUUAGUUUGGUGUCCCGAGCCACGUUGCUAGCAUUUAUGGUUGCCAUUUUCUUUUAGUUUAGCAUUCAGAAUCAUUCUUACCAUUUGGAGUCACUUUCACCAGUCUUGGGCGUUCAGAGCCAUGUCUUCAGUUUGGCAUUUAGAGUCAUCACCUUCUUCAGUUUGGCAUUCAAAGUCAUGUCUUCGUUUUGGCAUUCAGAGCCAUCGUCCAACUUGGCAUUCGGUACUACCAUAUUCCUUUAGUUUUGGCGCUCAAAGUUGUCGUGCAUAUUCAUUCAGGCAUUUAGAGUCAUCAUCUUUCCUCCUUUUGGCGUUCAAAUUCAUUCCUUCUCAGCCUUGCCAUUCAGAGUCACGGCUCCUAACAUUCCUAUUCACUGGUAUUGCGCAUCUUACCUUCAUGGUUUUGCAUUCAUCCUUGGUCUUUCCUCACCUCGUUACCUUGUGCUUAUCGCUUAUUCAUCAUGCUCUUCUAGAUUUCCCUUUUCCCUGCACAUGACAUGGUCCAUUGAGUUCAUGGCACAUAUUUCGGUCAUGUUGUUAGGCACCUCACACUUAACAUUCUCAUGUAGUUCACAUAGGGCAAUCCCCUUUGGACGCAUUCUUUUCUAUACUCUAAGAUGGUUUGACCGUUACUCAUCUUUGACAUCGAUUUUUCGAGUCACGUUUAGAGACAUCUUAGAGCAAGUCUGGAUCCCUAGGGCAGCUUUAGAGGCGCCUUGAGAGAUGUUUUCCUCUUAGGAUCAGAGCCCUUUUGUUCGAUUUGAGCGAGUUUGUGUUCUACUUGUACCUUUCGGGGGUCUUUCUUUGUUCUUCGGUAGAGUUCACUUCAUUCCACUCACUUUUCACACUUUAAUUUCACACUUUAUUUUCACUCUAGUGUUCGUAUUCCUUGCACUCAUGAACUCUACCGAAGAAUGGCAUAUUUGUAGACCCUUCAGGUAGAAUGGGUUAUUUUCUAUUAUUUUUAUUAUUUUUUCUAGCCACUCUGAGAUGAGCCAUUCUUUGGCAGCCAAAGGAGCUUGCAGGUGACGGAAAAACAGUUGGUGGGCGAGUUGUUCUGGGCAUACGGAUGGGAUAAGAGGAAGAGAAGGCAGAGAGCUAGUUGGAGCUAUAGAGAGAACGACAGUUGAAGCAGGGGGCAGGUACUAGCAUUGCAUAAAAAGAAAGAUAUUUCUUUGGGCUGUGACAAGGGGGUAGAUAUAGCUUGGAAGGGAAGCGAGCAAGAAGGGGUUCGGAGAAGAAAAAAUUGGAGAGUCCUUAUAGAGUAAACGAGGAACAGGGGAAGGGGAUGGCAACUUGAUGGAAGCUAAGCAACUUUUGCUCGAGGAGAAUCGCUCAAGUUUAACUAUCUCACACCUUAGGUUCUCCAUUUUUAUAGUCAUACUAUGCUUUUUGUUGAUAUUUGGAUGUUUGUUUGAACUAUUUAAUGUGUUAAACUUGUUUAUCAUUUCUAUUUGCUUGGUCUUUGUUUCUCCUGUAUGAGUUGCAUGAUAGUUAUGUCAUCGUUCAUGCGUUAAGACCAUUCAAACUUUCUCACCAGCCUUUAAAACUCAUUGAUCUUCAUGAAAUGGAGCUGGAUUUAAUAGUAUUACUUUCUCUUGUACAUGCUUUGUCUUUCUUCAAUUUAUCCUCUGUUUUUGGUAUUUUUGGAAUGUUGAGUAUCGUGUUCAGUUUGGUCGUCUGGGUUGGGAUGCUCCUGAGAGAGCUCAACAUCAGAGCCUUUGGGAGACACUGUCCUAUUGUUUAUUAGGCGAGCUGAAGAUUUGACAAGCCAAGAGCAUUAAGGAGAUAUUAACAGUUUUGGUCCGGUGAUAAAUCUCGAGUUCACCGUGAUCGAUGGGUUAUUUGCACGAGGGCUUAACUGGUAUGGAUCAGGAAGUUGCUGUUAGAAAUUUACAUGCUAUAUUCGAUUCCAAUAUGCUUGCAACAUGAAUCAAAACCGAAAAGACUAAGAAUAGUCUACUUACCUCCAGCCAUUGUAGUUGGUUUCAAAAACCCAGAUUUCCAAACUCUGAUCUCUCCUUUUUUUAGAUGGUGUUUUUCUGAAGAUAAUAGCAGAGUGAGUUCGGGACCAUUUUUUUUUUAAAAACUUUAUAACAGUGGCUUCCAUCAAACCACGUUGCCUCUUGCCACCAUGUUGAGCAGUUGGUGGAACGUGCUCCUUAAUCGCAGCGGAAGUGAGAUGGUGGAGGACGUGGUCAAAGUGUUGGACCAUAUCAUGAAGUGAGAUGAACUCACACGUGUAUUCAGCUUACAUUCUCCCACUUGGUCCACACCUUUAACCUAAUGUCCUAAUUUAGUCCAUCAAUUGUCUCAAUAAGUAACAAAUACAUGAAUCAUGGCGAUAAGUCCUCUAUUUAACGAGUGUUACCUUCCAUGUAUUACAAUGUACUCAUUUCUUAACAUUAUACUUUAUGUGGCAAUAUUACUUAAUGAAUAAACCCUAUGUUCAUUCUUGGUCCAAUGAAGUUGAAUUUUCUCAAAAUUAAAUAAAAAGUGCGCAUCAAUAUGAGAAAACAUCAUAAUAAGAGUUUGUACAAUAGAAACUACAUAAGGGAACUAAGUCCCAUGUUCACUACAUGAUCCUUGAAUUUCAAUGGUGGCAUGCCCUUAGUCAAAGGAUCAGCGAUCAUCAAUUCAGUGCUAAUGUGCUCAAUAACCACUUUCUUUUCUUUAACACGUUCUCUUAUGGCUAAAUACUUAAUGUCGAUGUGUUUGCUUCGACUUCCACUUUUAUUGUUUUUCGCCAUAAAGACUGCAGCUGAAUUGUCGCAAUAUAUACUCAAUGGCCUAGAUAUUGAAUCCAUAACUCUAAGCCCGGAAAUGAAACUCUUAAGCCAUACACCAUGUGAAGUAGCCUCAAAACAAGAUAUGAACUCAGCUUCCAUAGUAGAAGUAGCAGUCAUGGUCUGCUUAACGCUCCUCCAAGAUAUAGCUCCACCGGCCAAUAUAAAAAUGUAUCCAGAUGUUGAUUUACGUGAAUCAACACAGCCAGCAAAGUCUGAAUCUGAGUAGCCAACUACCUCUAAAUUGCUUGUUCGUCUGUACAUAAGCUUGUAAUCUUUGGUUCCUUGAAGAUAUCUCAUCACUUUCUUUGCAGCUUUCCAGUGGUCUAUACCUGGGUUACUCUGAUAUCGUCCUAACAUUCCAACAGCAAAUGCAAUGUUAGGCCUUGUGCAGACCUGAGCAUACAUCAAACUUCCGACUGCAGAAGCAUAUGGAAUGUUCUUCAUUUGUUCCCUCUCAAGAUCGUUUUUCGGGCAUUGGUCCAGAUUGAACCUAUCACCUUUCACUAUAGGAGAAACACUAGGUGAACAAUUCUUCAUCCGAAAUCUCUCUAAAACUUUAUUGAUAUAGGUUUCUUGAGACAAACCUAAGAUACCUUUAAAUCUGUCUCUAUGGAUCUUAAUGCCAAUGACAUAAGAUGCCUCGCCCAUAUCCUUCAUGUCGAAAUUUUUAGAGAGGAAUUGUUUUACCUCAUGAAGUAAACCCUUAUCAUUGGUUGCAAGUAAGAUGUCAUCCACGUAUAAAACAAGAAAACAAACUUUACUUCCACUGACCUUAAGGUAUAUGCAUUGAUCCAUAACAUUUUCAACAAAACUGAAUGAAGAAAUUAUGUUAUGGAAUUUUAAAUACCAUUGGCGGGAUGCUUGCUUCAAACCGUAUAUGGAUUUCUUAAGCUUACAAACCAAUUGCUCACCAUCACUAGAGGGGAAUCCUUCAGGUUGUUUCAUGUAAACCUCCUCCUCUAGCUCUCCAUUAAGAAAUGUUGUUUUCACAUCCAUUUGUUGCAAUUCUAAAUCAAAGUGGGCUACUAAUGCCAAUAUAAUGCGCAAGGAAUCUUUCUUAGAUACAGGAGAAAAGGUUUCCGUGUAAUCGAUUCCUUCUUUCUGAGUGAACCCCUUUGCAACAAGUCUGGCCUUGUAUCUUUCAAUGUUGCCUAAUGAGUCUUUCUUUGUCUUAAAAACCCAUUUACAACCAAUGGUUUUUACACCAUUAGGCAACUCAACAAGGUCCCAAACAUCAUUGCACUUCAUGGAACUCAUCUCAUCCUUCAUGGCAUUGUACCACAAUUCUGAUUCUUUGCAACUCAUGGCUUGUGAAGAAGAUUCGGGAUCAUUUUCGGCUCCUAUAUUGUAGUCACAUUCCUGUAGAUACACUACAUAAUCAUUAGGAAUUGCUGACCUCUUAGUUCGAGUAGACCUUCUUAAGGUUGCACCAAUAUCUUCUAAGGAAGUAUGAGGUUCAACUUGUUGUCCAGAAGUAUCAGGAAACUCCUGAUCAAUUUGAUCUACUGGAAUGUUGUCAACAACUUGUGGAACUUCAACGACUGGUUGAACUUCAGUGAUUGUUCGUUCUACACCCGAUUGAACUUGAGGGGUGUUAUGAACAAUAAACAAUCUAUCACUUGAAGUGGAAGGUUGAGACUCUGUAUGAUCAAUAUCAGAAACUAUGUUUCUAAAUUGAUCGCUCCCACUGACCAAGUCAUAUUCAAGAAAUUUAGCAUUUCUCGAUUCCACAAUCCUAGUGCUGUGAGAUGGACAGUAAAAUCUGUACCCCUUAGACUUUUCAGCAUAUCCAAUGAAAUACCCACUAAUAGUCCUUGGGUCCAGUUUCUUCUCUUGUGGAUUAUAAAUUCUCACUUCAGACGAGCAUCCCCAAACGCGCAUAUGUCGCAAACUCGGUUUCCAACCUUUCAAUAACUCAAAUGGCGUCUUUGGGACAACCUUGGUUGGAACUCGGUUUAAUAUAUACACAGCUGUCUUAAGUGCUUCAGUCCAUAAGAAUUUAGGAAGUUUUGAGCUGCUAAGCAUACUCCUCACCAUGUCCAAUAAAGUUCGGUUUCUUCUUUCUGCUACACCAUUUUGGUCUGGAGAACCAGGCAUGGUGUAUUGGGCAACAAUCCCAUGCUGUUGAAGAAACUUCGCAAAUGGUCCAGGUGAUUGUCCAUCUUCCAAGUAUCUACCAUAAUAUUCUCCACCUCUAUCUGAUCUCACAAUCUUAAUUUGUUUACCAUAUUGUUUCUCUACUUCUGCCUUGAAGACUUUAAAGGCAUCUAAAGCUUCAUUUUUAUUAUGAAGUAUGUAGAGAUACAUGUAUCGUGAGAAAUCAUCUAUGAAAGAGAUGAAGUAUUUCUGACCAUGAGAGUCCAUGUCAAGACUACAUAUAUCAGUAUGUAUGAUCUCUAGUAUGGUGGAACUCCUAGUAGCACCUCUUUUUGACUGAUUGGUCUGCUUACCCUUAAUGCAGUCCACACAAGUCUCAAAGUCAGUAAAAUCUAGAGUACUAAGUACCCCAUCAUUCACCAAUCUUUUGAUUCUAUCUAUGGAGAUAUGACCUAAUCUCCGGUGCCACAAUGUAGAGGAAUCCUCUUUUACAACACAUCUCUUAAUGCCAGUUUGGACAUGCAAUGAAUUAUGAACAGUAUCAUUUUGUAAGAAUAUACAAUAAAGACCAUCAGACAAGAUACCAUUCCCAACACAUUCAGAUUUAUAAAUCAAACUGAAAGAUGUUUUUGAAAAAUGAAAGGAAUAUCCAAACGGUACAAGUCUAGAAACUGAAAUCAAGUUUCGUGAGAAACUUGGUACAUAAAAAGUCUUUUGCAAUUCUAAAACAAAACCACUAUUUAAAGUUAAAUAACAUGUCCCUAUUGCUUCCACAUGCGAGCCCAUCUUGUUUCCGGAUAAGAUGAAUUGCUCACUUGUUACUGGCUUCCUUAGGUUUUGCAUACCUUGCAAGGAAUUUGAAAUGUGGAUUGUAGAUCCAGAAUCAAUCCACCAUGUGUUGGUGUUUACAUUAACCAUAUUAGAUUCAUAGCAAACAAAUGAGGUAGGGUUACCUUUCUUCUCAAGCCAAUUCUGAAAUUUCAGACAUUUCUUCUUCACGUGUCCUUUCUUUUUACAGAAAAAACACUUUUCGUCUUUCUUAAUGUCAGAUUUAGGAGGAAUUUGUUGCUUUCCUUUCUGACUAGCUUGAGGUUUUCCUUUCUUUCCUUUCCUUUGCGUCACCAGCAUGGCACUUUCUCCAUGUUCCAUCAAUAACCUUCCUUCCUCUUGAACACACAUGGUCAUCAAUUCAUUGAUAGACCACUUAUCCUUAUGUGUGUUGUAAGAGAUUUUGAAAGGUCCAUACUGAGGUGGAAGAGUGUUAAGGAUAAAGUGCACCAAGAAGGAUUCAGACAUUUCUACCUCGAGUUUCUUCAAUUGAGCCACAAUGUCCCUUAUCUCCAUGAUAUGUUCAUGCACACCUCUUAUACCGGUGAGCUUUAGGGAUGUGAACUUCAUAAUUAGGGUGCUUGCUAAGGCUUUAUCUGAAGUGACGAAUUGCUCGUCAAUAGCCUUUAUCAAUUCACGGACAUUCUCAUGUUGCUCGAUUGAACCACGUAUACCAGCACUGAUUUUUGUCUUAAUGUACAUCACGCUAAGGCGAUUAGAUUUCUCCCAGCGUUCGUACAAUAGUAUUUCUUCAGGUGUGCUGGUAUCAGUGAUCUUAUGUGGUUCAUCUUUCCUUAUGGCAUAGUCUAUGUCCAUGCACCCUAAUUGAAGAAGAAUUCUCUCCUUCCAUAUCUUAAAGUUAUCUCCUCUAAGUUCGGGAACCUCACAACGAAUAUCAGAUAUGCUAGGUAAAACUGCACAAAAAGAUUACAAGCUUAUUAAAAAUUUGAGGCUUUAAUAUAAAUUCAUGCUUUACCAAUAUAGAACAUGCUUAAAAUUAAAUCUAAUUUUAUUAAAAAUUGCCUGUGGGCUAAAUCUUUAAUUCAAUAAGAUUCAUUAUCUUUAUGAUAGACUUUAUCAAACUAUUUUAUUAAAUCAUGAAAUUUAUUCUAAAUAUAGUUUGAUAUUUUCUGUCUAUAAUCUUUAUGAUAAACUUAUUAAAUUAAUUCUUCCUAACUCCUGUGGGUAAAUUAGAAAAAAUUAAUUUUAAUAUUUUAUCCUAAUUAAUUAUAUAAAUAUAAUGAAAAACCUGUGGGGUAAAACAUCAUAUUUAUAUAGUUAAUUACAAUUAAUGUCCAUAAUGCGAUCCUUAUUAAUAUAUAACUUUUUUUUAUAUAAUUAAGGAUGCUGUGGCUAUUCCUUAAUUAUUUAAAAAAUCAUAUAGUUUCACUAGACAUUAAAACUAUAUGAUAUAAUUUUAAUAUAUCUAACUAAAUUUUAGGCAACAAUUGCAUGUAUUAAAAACUACAACUUUAAUUUAGGCUACAAACAUAUAAAGCAGUAUAUAAUUAUUUAUUUUGCAUGUAUAAAAUUUACAUGAUAAUUUUAAAGGUAUGAAUGAGUGCCUAAAUACAAAUAAAACACAAUCAAUUCCAUGCCCAAUAUAGUUAAAAUAAAAAAUUCAAAUCGGGCCAAAAAGAGCAUAAAUUGGCCCAAUUUUUACAUUUAUACAUGGCCUAACAUUUAAUGUCUUUUAUCUUUUCAAAAUGGGCCACUGUCCAUGCUUUGAAUCCAAUGGGCCCAAUAGCCAGUUAUUUAAAAGCCCAUAACCUUAGUGGAGCCCCAUCUUAUUUUAUGAUUUCUCACUAUUUUAAUAUCACCUGCAACCCAAAACCCAAGAUCCUAUUUUUCUGCCACUUAGUGGACUGCUUCAACACCGGCAACGACGUUCUCGCCGCCACCCACGUGGACUGCACCCUUGCUAGAUGCAGUCCAAGCCAUGAAGCCGUAUGCAGUGCUUCAACACGGCGUGUGAACGACGACUUGCAGCCCAAAAAAAAAAAUGGCGUUUCCAAUGGCGCCUGAACGGCGCUGAGAUGGUGGCUAAGGUGCGCCUUAAAUGGAGCCUGAACGACGCCUAGUAACAGCGCUUGAACGGCGCUGGUUGUAGCCCCAAAAAAUGGCACUUCAACGCGCCUGAAUGGCGCCUGAAAAUUGGUGCUACAAUGGCGCAUGUUGCAGUCCAGAAAAUUGCAUUUCAACGCGCCUGAAAAUUGGCGCUGGUAUGGCGCUACAAUGGGGCUGGUUGCAGCCCCAAAAAUGGCAGCUGAACAGGGCCAGGUAUGGGGCCUGAAGCACAUCUAAAAUGGCACCUGAAACGGAGUCACUGGUGCGCCUGAAAAUGACGCCUUAAUAGCGCUGCUGGAGCGCCAGAAAAUGGCAUAUUUUGAACGCCUGUAAUGGCCUUUUUUAUAAAUGAAUGAUGCCAACUAUAUAUAUGGAUCUCCAGCAACAAUCGUUUAAAUAAUUAUCAAGAGAUCAUAAAACAAGAAUUUUUCACUCAGAAAUCAUACAAAGCAGAGGCAAGAUUUAUGGCUCUGAUACCAAAUGUUAGAAAUUUACAUGCUAUAUUCGAUUCCAAUAUGCUUGCAACAUGAAUCAAAACCGAAAAGACUAAGAAUAGUCUACUUACCUCCAGCCAUUGUAGUUGGUUUCAAAAACCCAGAUUUCCAAACUCUGAUCUCUCCUUUUUUUAGAUGGUGUUUUUCUGAAGAUAAUAGCAGAGUGAGUUCGGGACCUUUUUUUUUUGAAAAACUUUAUAACAGUGGCUUCCAUCAAACCAUGUUGCCUCUUGCCACCAUGUUGAGCAGUUGGUGGAACGUGCUCCUUAAUCGCAGCGGAAGUGAGAUGGUGGAGGACGUGGUCAAAGUGUUGGACCAUAUCAUGAAGUGAGAUGAACUCACACGUGUAUUCAGCUUACAGUUGCGUCAUAGCUAUUUAAAGCUAAGUGGAUUCAGAUUUGUGUUGUGAGUAGUUCAUUAUGUUAGGGAGUGUCAUAGUCAGCUCAUUUGGUGGUCAUAACAGGAACUCGGUAAUAUGAUGGGCACGAAAAUGCUCACACCGAUUACCCAGUUACUGAUCUGUUACAAAUGAUGGGCCAUGCCAUCGCCUUUUAUCAGAUAAUUUUGGGAAAUGUGUCAUCCUCUGUCACGCCCCUCGUAAAGAAUACUACAAGAAGUUCUUGUAUGAAGCAUUCCUAGUUGAAAGUCAUUUGUCGCACUACCUGCAUGAUAAUUUGAAUACUGAGGUAGUUGUUGGAGUUAUCAAGAACAUGCGAGAUGUUGUGGAUUAUCUCAUUUAUUUGUAGAGAAAAUCGACCAUGCUCUCGGCAUCAUCAAGUCCAAUGGCAUCCAGAAUGUGCUUGCCCUCCGCGGCAACCCCAUCGCAGCACCAAGAAAAAGAGAAAGCUAAACAGAGCCUGAAAGGGAGAUAGCGAGAGUGGAUAGUGCAAGAAGAGUAAGGGAAAAAGAAUGGAGGCGUGGAAGGUGUGGAGCGCUUUAUCGUAGCCGCCGAAGCGUCUCAUCCAUAUGGUUUCUUCUACCAGUCACCACGCCUCUUCCAGAUUCACCGUCUCAUAUUGUUCUCCUUCCACCACCACUACCACCACCGCCACCACCACUGCCGGCGGUAGGUCCAGGAUCGUCGGCUGGAAUCGGAGGUUAGCGUCUUCGUCUUCCUCAUCGUCUGGACCCACGACGUGUUGGAGUGUCGGUUAGACUACAAACUGUACAUAUGAUGGAGGAUAUCGGAGCUAUUCAAGUUGAGUUUGAUGGUCCUUUUCUUCUUUGAGUAAGCCGUCUUCCUGUUGCCACAAGUGUGGAAAAUACUUCCACAUCUUUGGUAUCCAAAACUAAAGGUGGUGAUAAAAUUAAAAUAAGGAAGAAUGUGUAGGUUUCUGAAAAUGGUCAACCAAUUUCCAAAGAAAGGCUUUUGGAUGGAGCCAAGGAAGUUGACAAUAUUCCAAAGAUUGGCGCUACUUCAGACAUUGUCCUUUCUCCUGCUCACACAAUUGAUGAAGACUUGGCUGUACCAAAGUCCUUGGAUAUCACAGUGGUAGAUGGAACUGAUACAUUGCCUUUGAUGGAAACUGAUUAACAUUCUCCAACUAUAAUCACUAACUUCACAACGCAAUGCUAGUUGCACCCAAGGCCCACGUGCAUGACCUUACUUUUAAAUGGCACCUUUGGCCAACCCCAAGUGCCACGCCUCUUUUACUUAUUUAUUUAUUUAUUCAUUUGUUUAUUUAUUUUUUACUACUUCUUCGUAUUUGGAUAUCCCAACUUAAUUCUUGAAAAUUCCGAUUUCCAAAUUUAAUUUCCAAUUUCCAAAAUUUCAAUUUUCACAUUUAUUUAUCUACUUAUUAUUAUUUUCGUUAAUAUUAUUUUAUUUAUUUAUUUAUUUUUAAAAUUCCAUCUUUAAGUAAUCCUUCAAAAUUCCGAUUUCCAAUUUUAAUUUCCAAUUUCCGGAAUUCCAAUUUCCACAUUUGUUUAUUUAAUCAUUAUUAUUUACGUUAUUAUUAUUAUUUUAUUUAUUUAUUUUUUAAAAUUCCAUCUUUAAAUAAUUCUUCAAAAUUCCAAUUUCCAAAUUCAAUUUCCAAUUUUCACAUUUAUUUAAUCAUUGUUAUUUUCAUUAUUAUUAUUAUUAUUAUUAUUAUUAUUAUUUUAUUUAUUUAUUUUUAAAAUUUCAUCUUUAAUUAAUUCAUCAAAAUUCCAAUUUCCAAAUUUAAUUUCCAAUUUUGCAAAAUUCCAAUUUUCACGUUUAUUUAUCUACUCAUUAUUAUUUUCGUUAUUAUUAUUAUUAUAUUUAUUUAUUUUUUAAAAUUUCAUCUUUAAGUAAUCCUUCAAAAUUCUGAUUUCCAAAUUUAAUUUCCAAUUUCCAGAAUUCUAAUUUCCACAUUUAUUUAAUUAAUCAUUAUUAUUUUCGUUAUUAUUAUUAUUUCAUUUAUUUAUUUUUAAAAUUCCAUCUUUAAAUAAUUCUUCAACAUUCCGAUUUCCAAAUUCAAUCUCUAAUUUCCAAAAUUUCAAUUUUCAAAUUUAUUUAUUUACUAAUUAUUAUUUUCGUUAUUAUUAUUAUUAUUAUUAUUAUUAUUAUUAUUAUUAUUAUUAUUAUUACUAUUAUUAUUAUUAUUAUUAUUUUUAAAUUUCAUCUUUAAAUAAUUCUUCAAAAUUCCGAUUUCCAAGUUCAAUUUCCAAUUUUCAAAAUUCCAAUUUUCACAUUUAUUUAUUUAAUCAUUAUUAUUUUUCUUUUCCGAUUUCCAAAUUCAAUUUCCAAUUUCCAAAAUUCCAAUUUUCAUAUUUAUUUAUUUAAUCAUCAUUAUUUUCGUUAUUAUCAUUGUUAUUUUAUUCAUUUAUUUAUCUAUUUAUUCGUCUAUUUUUUAAAUUCCAUCUUUAAAUAAUUCUUCAAAAUUCUAAUUUUCAAAUUUAAUUUCCAAUUUCAAAAAUUCCAAUUUGCACAUUUAUUUAUUUAAUCAUUAUUAUUUUCGUUAUUAUCAUUAUCCUAUUUAUUUAUUCAUUUAUUUUUUUAAAAAAAAUUCCAUCUUUAAAUAAUUUUCAAAAUUUUAAUUUCUUUCAAAAUUUAAUUUCCAACAUUCUAAUUCUUAAAUAUAAUUUUCAAAAUUCCAAUUGUCAAAUAAUUUUCAAAAUUCCAAUUCUUAUAUUUAAUUUUCAAAACCCCAAUUUUCGAAUAAUUUUAGAGACUUCAAUUUUCAAAUAAAUUUCAAAACUCCAGUUUUCUUUCAAAUAGUUUUAAUUCCACUCCAUUUUUUUUAAAUAUUUUUAAAAUUCACAAAUUUUCUUCGAUCUUCAAAUAAUCUUUCGUUUUCCUUGAUUUUUUUUAAUAAACAUGAAUGAAUCUUUCAUAAUUCCAAAAUAAUGGAAUUUGUGAUAUUAAUUCAUGUAAAAUAAAUUGGGUUUUGGUGGGGGCCCUACAUAUGAUCUCUUCUGAUUGUCAACUGUUAUAUUCAAUGAAUAUUGUUUGAUCUUUGUCUUACUCUUUGAUAUGCAUGUGAUAAUUUUAUACUCGAACUAACCUUGUUUCUAUGAUAGCGCACUAUUACUCGCUGCUAAGGUACGAUCUCACUCCCACUUUGUUUAUUCUUAUGCAUGAUUUGUUUUAUUAUUUUGAUCAUUUCAUUGAUAUCCAUUGAUUUCCUUAUCAAUUGUCGCACUUGCUUCACCUUAUUUAGUAGAGACCCGUUUUUAGGGACUUAGAUGGGUGUUACGGUCUUUAUCAUACCUUCCCAAUAAGUAACUUGACCCCCGAGCCUAGAUUUGGUUUUUCGCAGACCAUCUUUUCCAAAUAAGGAGUUACACUUAGAGUUUUCUUUUUUAUUUUAUUUUCCCUUUAAAAAUAAAACAAAAAUAAGUGACAGACUCCAAUUCAUUUUCUAAAAAUAAUUUUUUUCAAAUAAAAAACGAGUUUGCCAUCGAGUAAGAACACAUGAGCAGAAAUAUAGGAUCCACACUUCGCCAAUUAAUGUGUUGUCUCUUCUCUUUCCUUUUCAAAUCUUUGUUCCAUCUCUUAUAUUUGCUCUCGUAUUUGUACCGAUGGUGCAUCACUUGGUGGUCGUUGGCUAUUAGUUCAUGUUUGCACCAUGACCAACUCGAUACAUGUGAGGGCUUUGCACAUAUCGUUUCCCAAAAGUGACACCAAUUUUUGAACUAGGUGUCACGCUCCACCUUUGCUUCUUGUAAUUUUUGUAAUAAAAUUACAACUAAUGAAGGAAAUAUUUUUAAUUUUGUUUUUCCAAAAUAGAUUAAGAGAAAGGCGUAAGUUCCAAGCAACAACUUCUUUAGCAACAUGAAACCCAAAAGGAUGAUCAGAAAAACCCAAUAUUUGAAACGUGAUUUGAUUCUAGGAAUGACAUCUAUAUGAUUAGAGAACCAAUUUUGAUUUGGAAGGAUAAUUUUAGGGAUUUAUUUAUCAUUGCAUAGAAAGAGCUUUCAUAGGAUUCAUAAAUAAAGGUCAAACCGUGAAGCGUUUGUAUAGCUUUUAAACACUUCUCAAGAAUCUACUAGGACAUAUAUACCUCACUUGUUGAGUUCACGUGUAAGUUGUAACCACCACUCAAAUUAAGUAGCGAAUAAUCAGUUUCAUUUAGGUUAUUUAAUCUCUUUAUAAAUUAAAAAAAAAAAAACAAAUAAAUUUGAAUACCAUAAAAGUCAAUUAACUAAUUUCAAAUUUGAUGAUUGGCUUAAAAUAUACUUGAUGGUAACUUAAAGAGUUGUAAUUAUUAAUUUCAUUGAGGAAAUGGAUUAGUGUAAAUUUCUAAUUCUAAUGAUUGCCGUAUUCAAUUAUAAAGAUCCCACUUACAUAAAUACCCUCCAAAUAUAAUUCUAAUUUAAUGCUCAACCCUUUUUAACAUCAAGGUAACAUGUACAAGUUGGUUUUGGGGUUCAAGUUUCAACACCAUCCAAUUUUGCAAACCCUAUAAUUAUAACCCCGUCUGACCACAUCCAAAAGACUAACAACUCAGAGUCUUAACCCAAUUUUUCAUAACAAUAACUGAUUUGGAGAGAAGUGUAAAAAGGUAGAUUUACAAAAGACAAAAUUUUCAGAAUACCUGCAGACGAGUGUCAUAUUUACAUCCAGCAUUGGAACAAAUGCACUGCAGCAGAGGAUUGAUGAGAUGCUGGUGAUAAUUUUGAUAUCUAAUCCAAAAUUAAAACGAAAACUAAAACCCAAUGCGAACGCCAUUCCUCUACUUCUAGCUUCAACACAACACCGCAGGGGCAUAGCCUGCUACCCACCAUGCGCCCAUAACUUCCAGUUUUUGCCGAUAACAACCAAAAGUAGUUCAUUUACAAAUGACGAUAACAACACUUCCUUCCUAUACUAUUAACUUAAAAACAAGAACCCAAGACUUGAUAAAGACUUUGAAAUCAUACUACCAGCCAAAUUGGGCCCAAAAUAAGAUGAACUUAAAACUUCAGGGCUGGCUUUUCAGGCAAAAUAAAAAAGAAAAAAAAAAUUAACAGCUUCCUAGAACAGAGAGAUAAGUUAAAUACCAACAAGGGCGCUCCCCAUUGACUGAUCUCGAUGACUUCUCAAAGUCCAACUGCAAAUUUCAAAGGUAUUCACUUGCCUACAAAUGAACUAUAAUUUCAACCUCGGGAUGCAUAGGGGGUUCAACCAAGCAUAAGGACCAGCUUCUUACCUUGUAGGCCAAGAGAGAUUGCCUGGCAUAUUAGUAGCUAUGCAUGCAGAUCACCGAAGCUACAACCUCAUCCUAGCAUCAAAUUCUUGCCUUAUGAGAGCCAACCCUCCUACCAAAUGAUGGAGGUAUCUUUGCUACAUGCUACUUCACAAACACUACUAUCGUCAUCACGACAUACAGACAUGAGGAUCAAAGUCUUGAGUAGUGGGUGUUGGAAAAAGGGUAAUAAAUCACUUGGAAAUCUCAUUGAGUUGGAAACUGAUAUUGAUGGGGCCAAACACUCAAUUGGAGAUAUAAAGUAGACAUUCCAUUUUGAAAGUUUGUUAAAUGCUGCUCCUGUAAAAAUUGUUUGAACAGACCCAGGUUUAAGGAAUUUUUGCAAACUCAAGACAAUAAACACCUAUUAAAACCAUGUGCAUAUUUUGAGGAACAACUCCGCUCCACUCUUCAAAAAAGUUUUAUUACUUUGUAUACAAAUAAAAGUAUAAAAGACAGACACAGCUGCCAUGCCUUUUGCUCUACAUCAAAAAAAUACCCUGCAGUAACAAUUAUGGUUAGAAAUGUCGCAUAACAUGAGUUGACAGCAUAAACAAAUGUGGCAGCAAGCGACUUUACAAUUCUAUAUCUCAAAAGAGCAGUGAAAGAAUCAAGAAGCAACCAUAUUCAGUAUUAGAGAUGAUAAUAUAUGAAGAAAGCCAUGGUAGAUUAUUAACACACAUAUUAAGCAAAUCAAAUAUAAAUCAGUAAGAAAACCAUAGUCCACAUAGAAUCAAUCUAUCAUAAACAGAGAGUGUACCCAGCAAAUAAAUGCAUUAGUCAGAGCAAGGAACAGGAAUAUAAGAAAAACAUUGUUGAUUAAACCACUUAAAAUUCUGGCAAGAUAUAGUGUUCUCUGCCUGAAAACUCUUGCUGCUCCCCAUCGCAUUUGAAGAAACAAAAGAUCGGAACCAAAAUACUACAUUGUUUUGAAAACUUGCGAAGGGGGAAAAGUACUUAAAUGAAAAAAAAAUACAGGUUUAAGAUUCUGGUCUUUAUAGUAGGGGAAACAGUAACUUUUCGUCACAUAAAAGACGUCAUUUGCAAGAGUGCCUGGAACUUGAGAAGAAUCACCAGAGUCCAAAACUAAAAGAUUGAUGCAUCUAUGGAGGAAUCUGCACAAUGAAUAGGUAAAAAAUAUAAAAAUCUAAUUUCCAAAACAAAAAAUUUCGAGUAGAAAAGCAAAUAUAACAAGUAAAAGUGGAAAUGUCAUACCUUGGGUAAUUUAGGAGUAAGAAGUUUAAAAAGCAUAAUUAACUCGUUUUAUCAUGCUAUAAUGCAAGCAAGGGAAUGGUUUUGAAGAGAAUGACAUGAGUGUGGAAAUUUAAAAAAGGCCCACAAAUGAUAGAACUGCACUUUAAUAUGAACUCAAACACUAAUCAAAUUUGACCUGAUUGAACCAAACAUCAAGCAUAAAAUACUAGAACUUCAUCCAACAUAAAAAGGAACAAGUAGUGCAGCCAUGCAUAAGAUAAAUCAAAUAUGCUCACCAACUAGACAACCAUAAUCAGCCAUAGAGGUUUCAUCAGGAAGGCCACUAGAUUUAUACACCAAAGACAAGAUAUAAUCACUAAAAUACUUUUGCAAAUGUCUGACCCAUGUAAAAAUGUCUACUUCACAUACAAAUGAGCACAUAAAUCCAAGAGAUAAAUUUGAACCAUACCACCUUUGCACACUUUUUUAUCUGCAAGAUGACAAAAUGACAUCAAUUUGAGCACAUUGAUACUGAGUUUUCUUUAAUUAUAAAAUGAUCGUUCUAACACAUACUGGCAGCAAUAUCUAAAACAUUGAAAGUCAUUUAGUGAAGCCAUUUUCAUUUGAAAAAGAAAUCACAUAAAAUUCUAGAUUGUAAAAUUAGAAAUUUUGUUUCAAUUCCAUAUCUUCAGUACAAAUUUGGCAGCAAUUCCUAAAAUAAUAAUAAUCCAAAGAACUUAUAAUAUUACCACCAAAACUUCUACUCUCAAAGCCCUAGUAAGGGGGUAAAAUAAGACACAUUUAAAAACCUCCCCAAAUCUAACUUUUCCUAUGGUACAGCCUUGAAGAUCCAUCUUUUCGUUAAAAGGAACUACAAAUAAAAACAACUAAAAUCUCCACCAAACUAGUGACACAAAAAGGAGUGAGGCAUCUUUCACUAAUAAGCAACAACUGCCCUAUAUCCAUAAAUUGUUGCCAAUUCAUCUUUGCAAUACUUUAAGCUAUCUCUGAUUCAUAAAUUGUCAAUCUAAUAGAAGUUUUGUCCAAAUUGUCUAUGAAACUUCAUGUAACACCCUCAUACACAAAAAGGAAGCAAGAGUGCUUGAAACUAUAGGAUAGUCAUUCAAACAACCAUGAUAGAGGGGGACGCGUAAAUACAAUAACCCGAAGCUUCUAUAAUUUUCAUAAAGAAUAAGGAUCGCUUUCUCCCAAUGAAUAAAUCAGUCAGAAUAUGUUGUAAUAAUGUCAAAAAAUUCUUGAAUCAAAUCACUUAAAAUUCAAAAAGCAGAUUAUAUAAUUGUUUUUCAUGAUCAAAUCAUUAGAUCCAACUUACUCAAUUUUGCUAAGGAAGAAGAGUUUUCUGGUAACAGGUAAUCCUAUCAAAAAGCCUCUGGCUGACCAACAAGAAUGGUUUAUGCUUAUAUGAAUUAAUGGGCCAAAAAAUUAUAAAUUUAUAUGCUGAGAAAACAAGAAAUGCAUCAGUAACCAAGGAAUUCUGCCUUCAUGCUAUUAAUUAGCCAAAAUGAAUGACAAUAUUGCUAGAAUAUGCAAAAUGGUAAUAGGAACGAGGCAUACUAUCAGCAUUUGAGUUUGGUAAGAUCAGAAACAUGCUGACAACCAUUACUUAUUAGCGCUUAGAAAGGUAAAUUAACUACCAAGUGUUUAUGGGUAGUUUUCAAAGAGGAUGCGUCAUUCAUGCUCAAAGGCCUUUUUAUACAAGGCCCAGUUCAACACCUAAAGAAAAAUAAGCAGAUUUGUAAGGUAUAAACAGUUUCUUCACUCAACGGUGUAUUAAACAAAUCUAAGAAAUUUAAUUAGUUUAAUCAAAAUCAAUUAGCUCAAGUAAAAAUUAAUGAUGUCAAAGCAUAUAAAUUAUAUCUAAUAUGCCUGACACUCACCUAGUGACCCAUAUACGGUGCCCCACCCUGCUGAGGCCUGCCUCCACUGGCCUGCCCCAUUUGUGGGUUUUGGUACCCGCCCUGCAUUCCCGGCUGACUUCCGUAGCUGCCAGCACCCUGAUUUCCAUACCCACCCUGCAUUCCCUGCAUUCCAUGUGCCGCAGGCGGCAUAGCCUGGUUCACUGGUGCACCACCAAGACCUCCAAGCAGAUUGGUGAGCCCCAGUCCUGCCCCUUGUGAAGCAAGCAAUGCAGUCAAUGCUUGCCCAAGAGCCGGGUUCAAAGCUGGUGCAACACCUGGGUUCAAAGUCAUUGAUGGCCCUGAUGGUGCCAUCAGGUGCCCUGGGCCAGCGGCGUUGGCUGAGUAUUUUGAUUUGUCCUUCCUUGAAGGGUAAUGUGGUUGGUGUUGGUGGUGGUGAUGGUGGAAAGGCUUAUUUGGCUUCGGCCCAUCAAUUGCCUUCUGGCAAUGCAGUGUGUGACCCUCAAAAAUUUUGUGUGGCUCCUCCAAUGCCCUCCUCGAGCUCUCAAUCGACUUGUAAACGAACAAAGCGAAACCCUUGGGCUUCCCAGUCGACUUAUCUAAGCCUAAUGGACCCUCCUCGAUUUCCCCAAACUUCGCAAAGAACUCUAGUAGCUUCUGCGGAUCGAUCUCCGAAGAAACAUUGCUCACAAAAAUCUUUCUUUGAGUAUACUCAGACACCGGAGGUACCACCGGUGGCGGCGCUGGAACGGGGCCGGCAGAGGCUAGCUGGCACGAGGUCAUCCGAUUUCCAAUCUUCUUCUGCGGCUGCUUCAGCGCCUUGCGAGCGCCGCUCCGGUGCUUGAACAGAAUAAAGGCGUAUCCCUUGGAUUUUCCGGAGAUCUUGUCCGAUACGGCCUUGCAGUCUUCAAUCUCACCAUACUUGCCAAACACAGAGGUUAGGGUUUCUGCGGUCGUGUCCCAUCCCAGGCCGUGGACGAAGAUUUUUCGGUGAGCCGGGUCGGCGUCGGCGAGUCUUCGUACGCUAUCAACGAAGUCCGGGUACUUUUCCACUGCCUCCCGAAGCAAAGCCAGCAGCUGCUCUUUCGAGAAGGGCUCCAGAAGCUUCUCAAUCUCCUCAUCCUCCACAUCCCCUUCAUCCUCCUCAACCCCAUCGCCGUUCGCAUCCGCUGGCACCUCAUCCGCGACGGCUUCAUUCGACGCGUCCACAUCUCCUUCCUGGUCACCUUCUUCUUCCUCUUCCUCUUCCCCUUCCCCCUCCUCCUCCUCUUCUUC